GUGCUGCUGUGUCGGGGUGGGCGUACAGAGGUUAGAUGUCAGUGCCCCCGUCUAAAUUAGGCAGCACUAACAUGUCUCCAUCCAGCGGCCGUUUGGUCCGGGAACCCUUCUCCUUGGCCUUCCCUUUUCAGAACAGGCUAUAUCGGCACAUGAUCUGCAGCUGCAUUCUGCAGAGUCUGCCUCUUGGCUACAUUCCUCCAGGACAAUAAGCACUACUAAGGAUUCAGGAGCAGAGGGCUGGCACGGGCAGACAUCCACCUUUAGAAAAGGUCCUUUGACAGCCAAGUGGAAAACGGAUUGGAGAAGGGACAUGCUUGACACAGGGAGACCAAUUAGGUUAUUCCAACAGUCCAGACGAGAGGCAGCAAAGGCCUGAAGAAGGACAUAUUUACUGGCAUCAUCACUGUGCCUCAUAUACAGAAGAGCUGUUACUAACAAGAUCAUGAUGGGUUGCUGUGUUUGAGCCUUCCUCACACAUCAAGGCUCC
Molecule: long non-coding RNA, 487 nt
Organism: Dromiciops gliroides (monito del monte)
Lineage: Eukaryota; Metazoa; Chordata; Mammalia; Microbiotheria; Microbiotheriidae
Exons: 3
Source: RefSeq, a predicted model, not a curated record